AGAGUUUGAUCCUGGCUCAGGAUGAACGCUAGCUACAGGCUUAACACAUGCAAGUCGAGGGGCAUCAGGAAGAAAGCUUGCUUUCUUUGCUGGCGACCGGCGCACGGGUGAGUAACACGUAUCCAACCUGCCCUUUACUCGGGGAUAGCCUUUCGAAAGAAAGAUUAAUACCCGAUAGGAUAAUCAUUCCGCAUGGUUUCAUUAUUAAAGGAUUCCGGUAAAGGAUGGGGAUGCGUUCCAUUAGGUUGUUGGUGAGGUAACGGCCCACCAAGCCUUCGAUGGAUAGGGGUUCUGAGAGGAAGGUCCCCCACAUUGGAACUGAGACACGGUCCAAACUCCUACGGGAGGCAGCAGUGAGGAAUAUUGGUCAAUGGGCGCGAGCCUGAACCAGCCAAGUAGCGUGAAGGAUGACUGCCCUAUGGGUUGUAAACUUCUUUUAUAUUAGAAUAAAGUGCAGUAUGUAUACUGUUUUGUAUGUAUAAUAUGAAUAAGGAUCGGCUAACUCCGUGCCAGCAGCCGCGGUAAUACGGAGGAUCCGAGCGUUAUCCGGAUUUAUUGGGUUUAAAGGGAGCGUAGGUGGACUGGUAAGUCAGUUGUGAAAGUUUGCGGCUCAACCGUAAAAUUGCAGUUGAUACUGUCAGUCUUGAGUACAGUAGAGGUGGGCGGAAUUCGUGGUGUAGCGGUGAAAUGCUUAGAUAUCACGAAGAACUCCGAUUGCGAAGGCAGCUCACUGGACUGCAACUGACACUGAUGCUCGAAAGUGUGGGUAUCAAACAGGAUUAGAUACCCUGGUAGUCCACACAGUAAACGAUGAAUACUCGCUGUUUGCGAUAUACAGUAAGCGGCCAAGCGAAAGCAUUAAGUAUUCCACCUGGGGAGUACGCCGGCAACGGUGAAACUCAAAGGAAUUGACGGGGGCCCGCACAAGCGGAGGAACAUGUGGUUUAAUUCGAUGAUACGCGAGGAACCUUACCCGGGCUUAAAUUGCAGUGGAAUGAUGUGGAAACAUGUCAGUGAGCAAUCA
RNAcentral lists this ribosomal RNA (1024 nucleotides) under Bacteroides fragilis HMW 616. RNAcentral's name for it is "bacterial SSU rRNA". It matches the Rfam family "Bacterial small subunit ribosomal RNA", at positions 8 to 1025 of the family's 1533-position model. The record is from RNAcentral. Lineage: Bacteria; Pseudomonadati; Bacteroidota; Bacteroidia; Bacteroidales; Bacteroidaceae.